AUGAAGUCACAAACAAAUGUCCUCAUGUCCCUGCUGUUCUGGGUGUCUGGUGCCUGUGCAGAUAUCGUAAUGACCCAGUCUCCAUCCUCCAUGGCUGUGUCAACAGGAGAGAAGGUCACCAUCAGCUGCAAGUCCAGUCAGAGUCUUUUAUACAGUAAAGAUCAGAAGAACUACUUGAGCUGGUACCAGCAGAAGCCAGGGCAGGCUCCUAAAGUGCUAAUCUACUUGGCAUCCACUCGGCACACCGGAGUCCCUGAUCGCUUCAUAGGCAGUGGAUCUGGAACAGAUUUCACUCUCACAAUCAGCAGUGUCCAGGCUGAAGAUCAGGCAGAUUAUUACUGCCAGCAGUUGUAUAAAUCUCCUCCCACAGUGCUUCAGUUUCCAACAAAAACUUCUGAGAGUCGUGCAGGCUGCCCUGCACCUGCACUUUUCUCUUCUGCCUGGGAGACAGUGAACCUAAAACCCUGA
Non-coding RNA from Chionomys nivalis (European snow vole), 468 nucleotides. The record is from the annotation of a RefSeq genome assembly. Lineage: Eukaryota; Metazoa; Chordata; Mammalia; Rodentia; Cricetidae.